RNAcentral lists this ribosomal RNA (492 nucleotides) under uncultured bacterium. RNAcentral describes it as "partial 16S ribosomal RNA". It matches the Rfam family "Bacterial small subunit ribosomal RNA", at positions 29 to 507 of the family's 1533-position model. The record is from RNAcentral.
AGUGAACGCUGGCGGUAGGCCUAACACAUGCAAGUCGAACGGCAGCACAGUAAGAGCUUGCUCUUACGGGUGGCGAGUGGCGGACGGGUGAGGAAUACAUCGGAAUCUACUCUUUCGUGGGGGAUAACGUAGGGAAACUUACGCUAAUACCGCAUACGACCUACGGGUGAAAGCAGGGGAUCUUCGGACCUUGCGCGAUUGAAUGAGCCGAUGUCGGAUUAGCUAGUUGGCCGGGUAAAGGCCCACCAAGGCGACGAUCCGUAGCUGGUCUGAGAGGAUGAUCAGCCACACUGGAACUGAGACACGGUCCAGACUCCUACGGGAGGCAGCAGUGGGGAAUAUUGGACAAAGGGCGCAAGCCUGAUCCAGACAUACCGCGUGGGUGAAGAAGGCCUUCGGGUUGUAAAGCCCUUUUGUUGGGAAAGAAAAGCAGCAGGUUAAUACCCCGCUGUUCUGACGGUACCCAAAGAAUAAGCACCGGCUAACUUCGUG